Molecule: long non-coding RNA, 490 nt
Organism: Gymnodraco acuticeps
Lineage: Eukaryota; Metazoa; Chordata; Actinopteri; Perciformes; Bathydraconidae
Exons: 3
Source: RefSeq, a predicted model, not a curated record
AGCUGCCGACUGGUUCAGAGUUGUGGCCAAGCUCCAAGAGUGCCCUCUGACCGGAGUGAAGAGCGUGGUCGCCGUUUAUGUCUUCUUCAAUGAGCUGAGUAUCACCGUCACUGACAGACAGGAGACCUGGGUCAAUGGUAAAAAGGUUAAUGACCCCAGCCUGCCAGGAAAUAAUAUCUUUGUGAGACGUGAUGAGAAAACAGGUGAUUAUCGAGCAGAUGUCACACUUCCAGCUGUCUUACAGCAAUUCCCAGGAGCUCAUUGUUACUGUGAGUGCCAGCAUAGUGGACAACUUGUGUGGAGCAUGUGACAGAUUCAUAGCCUUCACAGACACCAUGGGCUUCACACAGUUUAUGAUACAGGAGUAUAUGGCCUCCUUUUCUGCACAGGACUUCCCUACCUGUGAGUUAUGAAGAAAAUAUCCUCUUCUCCAAACCCAGAGAUCAGUGCAACAGUAUCAUCAUCUGCAGAAAAUUCAACAAUAAAUUAG